This 3581-nucleotide long non-coding RNA is filed under the name Homo sapiens (human). Its description in RNAcentral is "HSALNT0254837". Lineage: Eukaryota; Metazoa; Chordata; Mammalia; Primates; Hominidae. The record is from RNAcentral.
UAUUCACAGGUGCAAUCAUAGUGCACUACAGCCUCAAACUCCUAGCCUCAAGCAAUCCUCAUGCCUCAGCCUCCAGAGUAGCUGGGCCUACAGGUACUUAACACCUCAUCUGGCAUCCCCCAGUCAGAUAUUUGGAUGAGACCCCUGCCUUGGCUAACACCUUGAUGAAAACCUGUGGAAGGUUCUAAGGCAGGACCCUCAGCGCAGCCACUUCUCCAGGCACUCGGCAGAGAGAACGCGCGUAGGCGUUGCCCUGGCAACGCCGGGAUGCCCAGCAACAAGUCCGCGGCGUGUAUCACGUGCUCGGCGCGGACCAAUCCGAGGGCCCGCCGGGAAGCAGGAGCAAUAGCAAAAAUUGGGAAUGGGAAGAAACAGGUACCAGCCAGGACACCUGAACGAACUUGGAGCUCAGGAACCCAGGAGGGGAUUGGAGAGAGUGGGGAGACUCCAUGGUCCACAAUGAAUGCUCCUUCCCCAUCCGAAAAAAUCCCCUAGCCCAGUUUUUGGGCAGAUGCCAGACUUUUAUUCUGAAGCGUGGGCCACAACCUAUGAGGUAAUCUUUGGAGCUUCAUUCUGAGGCGGAAUCCCAUUGGCCAGUUGGGGAAGCCCCUCCCAGGAUUCCUGGCGCUCCGCCUUCCCUGAAGCCUAUAAAAGCGCAGGUCCCCGCCUCGGCAGCCACGGGACACCUGCAUCUGCCAACAAGACUGGAAGCAGAAAGGGACAGAGACGGCGAAGUUUGACGGUCUGGAAAGCAGAGACCAGCAGGGCUGACUGCUUGGGAGCACGAGGGACAGCUCUCCACCGACCGAAGGAGGAGAAUGCUAUUUAUUUCAGCACCAAAUAUCCGGACAGCGCCUCUCGGGAGGUCCGAGAAGAGAACCGCGAUCUGUUUCAGCACCGGGGCUCAGGACAGUUCCCAGCGGGCUCCGUUUCGUCUCCAGAACCCUGGACAGCUCCUCCAGCCUCCCAAAGUGCUAGGAUUACAGGCGUGAGUCACUGCGCCUGGCCCAAGUCCGGAAUUUUCAACAGGACAUGGGUGUUACUGUGCCCAUGUGACAUUUGGGGAACCCAAGGCCCUGAGAAAGGCAGAAAAAUAACCCACGCAGGGACUCUCAGCCCACAAGUGAAGCUCUUGGAAUGCACUCCCUCCACCUCCAACCAGAGCUCCCCACAACUGACCCUGCCUUCUUCUGCAAGCUCCAUUUCAUCAAGGGAAACGAUCCUUAUUGCCUCACCAUUUCCCACGUGAAGUCUGUAUUGACAUUCUCAUAGACCUGGGAUAUUGUGUCUGCAGCACAUAGUCCAAUUAUUUUCAUGUUAUCUACUGACAGGUCUAUUUGUCUCCCUGUUACACUGUGAGCUCCGUGAGGGCAGAAACAAUGUUAGUAUUUUCACUGCUGUGUCCCCAGCGCCUGGUCCGGGGCCCGGCACACAGCAGGCAUAUAAUAAGCAUGUGUUGAAUCAAUAAAGGCAUCAAAGAAUAAACCAAUACAUCAAUCAAUAAAUGAAUGAAUGGCCUCAGCACACACAGGAAGAUCCUUCUUCUAGGUCUCCCCCAGAGAGAUACUGGAGGGCAAUGGUUGCUGGAGGUGUUUAUUGGGGAAGCAUAAUUGAAUUUGUGGACACUUAAGGGCCGGCCAGCCAACUCACAGCCCCAAGAGAGAGAGCCAGGCUCAUUUAAUUAGCAAUUACAAGGCACUGAUUCCUCAUUAGCUCUGGCAACCCUCGUCUCCCUCCUCAGCCCCAGACAAAUGAAAUCUUUCUCUCUCUCCCAGGAGUACUGCCUCAGUGGGUCCAUUAACAAGCAGAGAAAAUGAGAUUAGAAGACACCUAAAUGCCAGAGGCACUUUAUGAAUGGGCUGAGCAGAGGGAGGUUCAAUGUCUGGGUUAGGUCUAAUUGUGGGAGGUUUCCUGGUCUAUUUAGAAUUGCCCCCUGGGAAUGCAAGGUCUUUCAGAAAGGAAAAGGCACACAGAUAUUGCCUUCUGGGGUCCUCAAUGGAGGAGGACAUUCUGCUAUGGGUGUCUCCCAGUCACCCCAAAUUAAUCAUUUCAAAGUGAACACUCAAUCUGCCCAGCCCCUAGCUUCCUCCCCUGACAUGCCCAUGAAUAUGACAGUCCCUCUACAUGCCCAAGAUCCUCCCCUCCUCAUCCACUCCCCAUGAUCCCCAAGAUGAGUCACUGUGCUCAAAUCCAUCCUCUCUCCUCCAGCCCUCUGCCUCCAUGACCUCCCUCCAGCCCUCUGCCUCCAUGACCUCCGCCUCCCUGCAUGUCCGGAUCUCCUCACUGUCUCCCCUCUGAGCAUACACACACAUACAGCCUGUUCAUUCUCUACAUGCAGCGAGGGGACUUUCCAGAACACACAUCUGACCAAGUUCCACUCCUGCCUGUCACCCUUCCAAGAGCCCCACUGACUGCAGAAUAACGUUCAAAUAUCCGGUUGGGCGUGGUGGCUCAUGCCUGCAGUCCCAGCACUUUGGGAGGCCAAGGUGGGUGGAUCACUUGCACAGGACCACAGGCGUGUGCCACCACACCCAGCUAAUUUUUAUAUUUUUGGUAGAGACGGAGUUUCACCAUGUUGGCCAGGCUGACCUCAAGUGAUCCACCCGCCUCAACCUCCCAAAGUGCUGGGAUUACAGGCAUGAGUCACUGCACCGGUCUAAUUUUUUCAGAGUCUCACUCUUGCCCAGGCUGGAGUGCAGUAGCAUGAUCUCGGUUCACUGCAACCUCUGCCUCCUGGUUUCAAGCGAUUCUCUUGGCUCAGCCUCCUGAGCAGCUGGGAUUACAGGCACGUGCCACCACACUUAGCUAAUUUUUGUAUUUUUAGUAGAGAUGGGGGUCUCACCAUGCUGGCACAGUUGGUCUUGAACUCCUGACCUCAAGUGAUCCACCCACCUCGGCUUCCCAAAGUGCUGGGAUUACAGACGUGAGCCACCGCGCCCGGCCAGCCUUUAUUGAUUCUUUUUAAAGCCACACUAACCUUUUAUUUUCCCCCAAAGACCCCUGGGAGCCCUCAGUUUUUCCUGGCAGUUUCAUCUUUGUACCCCUGACCUCCCCACACACACGCCUAGCUCAGUGCUGGCAUCCAAUAUUCACUUUGGGUAUAAAUGCUUGUGCCUGAGCCUAUCACCUUCAUCACACAGAAAAUCCUGGAGGCCACACACCCCUGUAAAGACGAGCCAUUACCCACAGAGGUCCAACCAACUUACCACCCUCUCCCAGCCACCCCCAAGGACCCAGCUUGCAGCUGCCUGCUCAAUGGCUUUAGAAACUAAAAAAGGUGAAUGAGUUUCCAUCACUGCCCUCCUGGGCUUUGCCGUUAUGGCUGGUUAACUUGACAGAAGAACACAUUAUACUUCAUUUUUUGCUGUUGUCUUGUUGGAAAAAAAAGUGACAGCUGGGUGCAGUGGUGCACACUGUAGUCACAGCUACUCAGGAGAAUUGCUUGAGCACAGGAAUUGGAGGCUACACUGAGCAAUGAUCGCCUCACUGCACUCCAGCCUGAACGACAGAGCAAGACCCUCUUAAAAAAUACGUGAGAGAGGGUGCGUAUGAUGGCUCAUGCCUGUAAUCCCAGCAGUUUG